RNAcentral lists this ribosomal RNA (183 nucleotides) under uncultured bacterium. Its description in RNAcentral is "partial 16S ribosomal RNA". It matches the Rfam family "Bacterial small subunit ribosomal RNA", at positions 1318 to 1500 of the family's 1533-position model. The record is from RNAcentral.
CCAUGAAGCUGGAAUUGCUAGUAAUGGCAGGUCAGCAUACUGCCGUGAAUACGUUCCCGGGCCUUGUACACACCGCCCGUCACACCAUGAGAGUUGGAAAUACCCGAAGCCUGUGAGCUAACUUAAAGAGGCAGCAGUCGAAGGUAGAGCCAAUGAUUGGGGGUGAAGUCGUAACAAGGUAGC